Non-coding RNA from Dipodomys ordii (Ord's kangaroo rat), 131 nucleotides. NCBI's taxonomy places the organism in Eukaryota, Metazoa, Chordata, Mammalia, Rodentia, Heteromyidae. The record is from Rfam.
AUGUUGUAUGAAACGAGAGAAGGUUAGUAUUUCUUGUGAUAAGGAGAAAAAGAGGGAAAAGGCCCUGGGCCUGAACAUCAUGCAUAUAAUAUGGAAGUAUUUAUUCAGUCAGUAAUUAUCUAAUUCUCUUU